This 243-nucleotide ribosomal RNA is filed under the name uncultured bacterium. RNAcentral describes it as "partial 16S ribosomal RNA". It matches the Rfam family "Bacterial small subunit ribosomal RNA", at positions 118 to 347 of the family's 1533-position model. The record is from RNAcentral.
UGGGUAACCUGCCUCAAAGAGGAGAAUAGCCUCCCGAAAGGGAGAUUAAUACCGCAUAAUAUGUUUAAGUCGCAUAGACUUUAACAUCAAAGGAUUUUCUUUUAGAACUUCCACUUUGAGAUGGACCCGCGGCGCAUUAGCUAGUUGGUGAGGUAACGGCUCACCAAGGCAACGAUGCGUAGCCGACCUGAGAGGGUGAUCGGCCACAUUGGAACUGAGACACGGUCCAGACCUCUACGGGAG